GUCUUUCGAUAUGGAUAGAGUAAUUUGAAAGUGCCACAGUGACGUAGCUUUUAUAGAAAUAUAAAAGGUGGAACGCGGUAAACCCCUCGAGUGAGCAAUCCAAAUUUGGUAGGAGCACUUGUUUAACGGAAUUCAACGUAUAAACGAGACACACUUCGCGAAAUGAAGUGGUGUAGACAGAUGGUUAUCACCUGAGUACCAGUGUGACUAGUGCACGUGAUGAGUACGAUGGAACAGAACAUGGCUUAUAGAA
This 253-nucleotide RNase P RNA is filed under the name Staphylococcus aureus. RNAcentral's name for it is "partial RNase P RNA component class B". It matches the Rfam family "Bacterial RNase P class B", at positions 141 to 365 of the family's 365-position model. Rfam says of the family: Ribonuclease P (RNase P) is a ubiquitous endoribonuclease, found in archaea, bacteria and eukarya as well as chloroplasts and mitochondria. Its best characterised activity is the generation of mature 5'-ends of tRNAs by cleaving the 5'-leader elements of precursor-tRNAs. Lineage: Bacteria; Bacillati; Bacillota; Bacilli; Caryophanales; Staphylococcaceae. The record is from RNAcentral.